This 68-nucleotide transfer RNA is filed under the name Microgale fotsifotsy (pale shrew tenrec). Its description in RNAcentral is "tRNA-Asp". The record is from RNAcentral. Lineage: Eukaryota; Metazoa; Chordata; Mammalia; Afrosoricida; Tenrecidae.
GAAGUACUAGUAAAAUAUUACAUGGCCUUGUCAAGGCUAAAUUACAGGCGAAACUCCUGUGUACCUCC